Molecule: ribosomal RNA, 781 nt
Filed under: Trichococcus collinsii
Lineage: Bacteria; Bacillati; Bacillota; Bacilli; Lactobacillales; Carnobacteriaceae
Description: bacterial SSU rRNA
Rfam family: Bacterial small subunit ribosomal RNA
Source: RNAcentral
GAAGAUAGUGGCGGACGGGUGAGUAACACGUGGGUAACCUGCCCAUAAGAGGGGGAUAACAUCCGGAAACGGGUGCUAAUACCGCAUAGUUUUCUUGAUCGCAUGAUUGAGAAAGGAAAGACGGCCUUUGUGCUGUCGCUUAUGGAUGGACCCGCGGCGUAUUAGUUAGUUGGUGAGGUAAUGGCUCACCAAGACGAUGAUACGUAGCCGACCUGAGAGGGUGAUCGGCCACAUUGGGACUGAGACACGGCCCAAACUCCUACGGGAGGCAGCAGUAGGGAAUCUUCCGCAAUGGACGAAAGUCUGACGGAGCAACGCCGCGUGAGUGAAGAAGGUUUUCGGAUCGUAAAACUCUGUUGUCAGAGAAGAACAAGUCGGAGAGUAACUGCUCCGGCCUUGACGGUAUCUGACCAGAAAGCCACGGCUAACUACGUGCCAGCAGCCGCGGUAAUACGUAGGUGGCAAGCGUUGUCCGGAUUUAUUGGGCGUAAAGCGAGCGCAGGCGGUUCCUUAAGUCUGAUGUGAAAGCCCACGGCUCAACCGUGGAAGGUCAUUGGAAACUGGGGAACUUGAGUGCAGAAGAGGAGAGUGGAAUUCCAUGUGUAGCGGUGAAAUGCGUAGAUAUAUGGAGGAACACCAGUGGCGAAGGCGACUCUCUGGUCUGUAACUGACGCUGAGGCUCGAAAGCGUGGGGAGCAAACAGGAUUAGAUACCCUGGUAGUCCACGCCGUAAACGAUGAGUGCUAAGUGUUGGAGGGUUUCCACCCUUCAGUGCUGCAGC